RNAcentral lists this ribosomal RNA (734 nucleotides) under Pseudeurotium hygrophilum. Its description in RNAcentral is "SSU rRNA". It matches the Rfam family "Eukaryotic small subunit ribosomal RNA", at positions 73 to 817 of the family's 1831-position model. The record is from RNAcentral. Lineage: Eukaryota; Fungi; Ascomycota; Leotiomycetes; Thelebolales; Pseudeurotiaceae.
UCUAUACCGUGAAACUGCGAAUGGCUCAUUAAAUCAGUUAUCGUUUAUUUGAUAGUACCUUACUACUUGGAUAACCGUGGUAAUUCUAGAGCUAAUACAUGCUAAAAACCUCGACUUCGGAAGGGGUGUAUUUAUUAGAUAAAAAACCAAUGCCCUUCGGGGCUCCUUGGUGAUUCAUGAUAACUUAACGAAUCGCAUGGCCUUGUGCCGGCGAUGGUUCAUUCAAAUUUCUGCCCUAUCAACUUUCGAUGGUAGGAUAGUGGCCUACCAUGGUUUCAACGGGUAACGGGGAAUUAGGGUUCUAUUCCGGAGAGGGAGCCUGAGAAACGGCUACCACAUCCAAGGAAGGCAGCAGGCGCGCAAAUUACCCAAUCCCGACACGGGGAGGUAGUGACAAUAAAUACUGAUACAGGGCUCUUUUGGGUCUUGUAAUUGGAAUGAGUACAAUUUAAAUCCCUUAACGAGGAACAAUUGGAGGGCAAGUCUGGUGCCAGCAGCCGCGGUAAUUCCAGCUCCAAUAGCGUAUAUUAAAGUUGUUGCAGUUAAAAAGCUCGUAGUUGAACCUUGGGCCUGGCUGGCCGGUCCGCCUCACCGCGUGCACUGGUCCGGCCGGGCCUUUCCUCCUGGGGAGCCGCAUGCCCUUCACUGGGUGUGUCGGGGAACCAGGACUUUUACUUUGAAAAAAUUAGAGUGUUCAAAGCAGGCCUAUGCUCGAAUACAUUAGCAUGGAAUAA